RNAcentral lists this unclassified non-coding RNA (343 nucleotides) under soil metagenome. Its description in RNAcentral is "partial contains 5.8S ribosomal RNA, internal transcribed spacer 2, and large subunit ribosomal RNA". The stretch from base 1 to 120 matches the Rfam family "5.8S ribosomal RNA", at positions 35 to 154 of the family's 154-position model. The record is from RNAcentral.
GAUGAAGAACGUAGCGAAACGCGAUAAGUAAUGUGAAUUGCAGAAUCCAGUGAAUCAUCGAAUCUUUGAACGCACAUUGCGCCCGCCAGCAUUCUGGCGGGCAUGCCUGUUCGAGCGUCAUUUCAACCCUCGACCUCCCCUUGGGGAGGUCGGCGUUGGGGACCGGCAGCACACCGCCGGCCCUGAAAUGGAGUGGCGGCCCGUCCGCGGCGACCUCUGCGCAGUAAUACAGCUCGCACCGGGACCCCGACGCGGCCACGCCGUAAAACACCCAACGUCUGAACGUUGACCUCGAAUCAGGUAGGACUACCCGCUGAACUUAAGCAUAUCAAUAAGCGGAGGA